RNAcentral lists this unclassified non-coding RNA (758 nucleotides) under Puccinellia vahliana. Its description in RNAcentral is "external transcribed spacer 1f". Lineage: Eukaryota; Viridiplantae; Streptophyta; Magnoliopsida; Poales; Poaceae. The record is from RNAcentral.
GUGAUCGUAUGGGGGGACUCUUUCCCGGCUGCUCGAGGUGCAUCCGUGGUGGUUUGUUGCCUUUGGAGAAUCGUUGCCGUUGUAACAUCACCGUUACAGUUGCAACACCCGCGCGCUGUGGACACUCAGGACGCCGACAUGCAAGCGAUUCCCCCGUGCUUCGCGUGGGGGAAGGCUUGGUUGGCUUGACCGCUGUGGCUACGCGAGCGCAUGAGUGGUUUUGGACCCGUGUCUGCUGGUAGAUCCCCCGUUUUUGUGCGGCCGACUACCGGCGCCGUGUCCCGUCGUUCCUGUGGCUUUGUGUUACCGUUGCCUUUCAAGUGCUUGCGUGCUGGUACCCGAACUAAGGGAAUUGGUGCUACGUACAUGUUGCCUCGCGGUGGACGCCUUCGGGUGUGCUGCUGCGGCCAAAUGGCGCUUGCGGCGUUGCCUCGUUACGCUUCCACGUUUACGUGGUUGUUGUUAUCAAGGCAACCUCGCUCCUGCUGUUGGUCUCGGAUGUUGCCCACGAUGAAGUCUCAUGGCCCUUUUUGGUUGCCUAGACCCGACCCUAAGAAGCUCUCCGAAUUGAGAACAACCGGAACAGGUGUUGCCUCUACGUAUUCCGCAGUUAGUGGUAUGAUACGCAACAUUUUGCGCCGAUCCUCAAAUAAGUAGGACGAGCUUAGCCCGCUCAAUUGUGACAUCCGGCCCGGGGACCGCUUCUGGCUUGACACGCAAGUGGACGGACGGACGACUCCCGACGCUGGACGUCAACA